AUUGAACGCUGGCGGCACGCCUUACACAUGCAAGUCGAACGGUAACAGGUCUUCGGAUGCUGACGAGUGGCGAACGGGUGAGUAAUACAUCGGAACGUGCCCAGACGUGGGGGAUAACGAGGCGAAAGCUUUGCUAAUACCGCAUACGAUCUAAGGAUGAAAGCAGGGGACCGCAAGGCCUUGUGCGUUUGGAGCGGCCGAUGGCAGAUUAGGUAGUUGGUGGGAUAAAAGCUUACCAAGCCGACGAUCUGUAGCUGGUCUGAGAGGACGACCAGCCACACUGGGACUGAGACACGGCCCAGACUCCUACGGGAGGCAGCAGUGGGGAAUUUUGGACAAUGGGCGAAAGCCUGAUCCAGCAAUGCCGCGUGCAGGAUGAAGGCCUUCGGGUUGUAAACUGCUUUUGUACGGAACGAAAAGGCUCUGGCUAAUACCUGGGGCACAUGACGGUACCGUAAGAAUAAGCACCGGCUAACUACGUG
Molecule: ribosomal RNA, 482 nt
Filed under: uncultured bacterium
Lineage: Bacteria
Description: partial 16S ribosomal RNA
Rfam family: Bacterial small subunit ribosomal RNA
Source: RNAcentral